Molecule: unclassified non-coding RNA, 342 nt
Filed under: Hevea brasiliensis (rubber tree)
Lineage: Eukaryota; Viridiplantae; Streptophyta; Magnoliopsida; Malpighiales; Euphorbiaceae
Source: RNAcentral
GCAGGCCCUUCAACAGGUCUCUGUAGCAAGAAAAUCAAAUAGAAUCAGCAAAACUAAAUAAAAGGAAUUUGCAAAUCAAUUAGGUGCAUAGUUUAUAUCAUGAGAAAUUGCUCUCCUUAAAUGUAUGCUGAAAAAUUAUAAAAUAAUCUUUUCUACAAUUCCAAAUGAUCCAAGUAAUGCAAGGAAAUAGACCAGAAAGAUAAUCACAAGAAAAAUUGUCAUUUCAAAUGCUAAGACCUAGAUAAUGGUAAUUGCAAUAAGAAUUUUUUUAAUAAAUAAUUCUUGGAAGAAAAAACAACAGUUUCAUAGAAGACAGAGAAAGAAGUCAUAAACAGUGAUUUG